Molecule: unclassified non-coding RNA, 294 nt
Filed under: uncultured Intrasporangiaceae bacterium
Lineage: Bacteria; Bacillati; Actinomycetota; Actinomycetes; Micrococcales; Intrasporangiaceae
Description: contains 16S-23S intergenic spacer region
Source: RNAcentral
UGGACUACAGGGGUUUCUAAUCCUGUUCGCUCCCCAUGCUUUCGCUUCUCAGCGUCAGUAGUGGCCCAGAGACCUGCCUUCGCCAUCGGUGUUCCUCCUGAUAUCUGCGCAUUUCACCGCUACACCAGGAAUUCCAGUCUCCCCUACCACACUCUAGUCUGCCCGUACCCACUGCAAGUUCGGGGUUGAGCCCCGAAAUUUCACAGCAGACGCGACAAACCGCCUACAAGCUCUUUACGCCCAAUAAUUCCGGACAACGCUUGCACCCUACGUAUUACCGCGGCUGCUGGCACA